GCCGGGAUAGCUCAGUUGGUAGAGCAGCUCACUUGUAAUGAGCAGGUCGUCGGUUCGAGCCCGACUCUCGGCUCCA
Molecule: transfer RNA, 76 nt
Filed under: Parcubacteria group bacterium 21-54-25
Lineage: Bacteria
Also listed under: 1 other name
Description: tRNA-Thr
Rfam family: tRNA
About the family: Transfer RNA (tRNA) molecules are approximately 80 nucleotides in length. Their secondary structure includes four short double-helical elements and three loops (D, anti-codon, and T loops).
Source: RNAcentral